AGGAGGUAGUAUAAAGGUAGUACGGGGGAUUUUGAGUUCUCGAGUAUGGGUUCGUGUCCCAUUUUUCUA
Molecule: transfer RNA, 69 nt
Filed under: Trachylepis perrotetii
Lineage: Eukaryota; Metazoa; Chordata; Lepidosauria; Squamata; Scincidae
Description: partial tRNA-Gln
Rfam family: tRNA
About the family: Transfer RNA (tRNA) molecules are approximately 80 nucleotides in length. Their secondary structure includes four short double-helical elements and three loops (D, anti-codon, and T loops). Further hydrogen bonds mediate the characteristic L-shaped molecular structure. tRNAs have two regions of fundamental functional importance: the anti-codon, which is responsible for specific mRNA codon recognition, and the 3' end, to which the tRNAs corresponding amino acid is attached (by aminoacyl-tRNA synthetases). tRNAs cope with the degeneracy of the genetic code in two manners: having more than one tRNA (with a specific anti-codon) for a particular amino acid; and 'wobble' base-pairing, i.e. permitting non-standard base-pairing at the 3rd anti-codon position.
Source: RNAcentral